UACAGAGGGGGCAAGCGUUAUUCGGAAUUAUUGGGCGUAAAGGGCGCGUAGGCGGCCUGACAAGUGGAAGGUGAAAUCCCUCGGCUUAACCGAGGAACUGCCCUCCAAACUGUCUGGCUUGAGACCGGGAGAGGUGAGUGGAAUUCCCAGUGUAGCGGUGAAAUGCGUAGAUAUUGGGAGGAACACCAGUGGCGAAGGCGGCUCACUGGACCGGUACUGACGCUGAUGCGCGAAAGCGUGGGGAGCAAACGGG
Molecule: ribosomal RNA, 253 nt
Filed under: uncultured bacterium
Lineage: Bacteria
Description: partial 16S ribosomal RNA
Rfam family: Bacterial small subunit ribosomal RNA
Source: RNAcentral